CUCCAUCAUAUUACCUCCUCCCCCGUACAUCCACCCCCCAAUCCCGCCGCUCGAGAGGACGACGACACGAUGACUCGCGGCAACCAGAGGGAGAAGGAUCGCGAGAGGGCGGCAGCCCGCAAUAAGGGGCUCAAGGGCAAGGAGGACGGCCUCACCCCCGAACAGCGCCGCGAGAGGGAUGCGAAGGCGCUGCAGGAAAAGCUGGCGAAGAAGGCGGGGCAGGGGUCGUCGGCCGCCGGCGGAGAUGCCGGCGGUAAAGCGGCGGCGAAGAAGUGACCCGAAGGUGGUUUAUUUGAUGCAAACUGUUAUAUGUUAAAUUAAAUGAGGCUUGGGAUGAGUUUUGGGAUUUGAUUUCGUUUGGAUCUG
RNAcentral lists this unclassified non-coding RNA (366 nucleotides) under Hevea brasiliensis (rubber tree). The record is from RNAcentral. Lineage: Eukaryota; Viridiplantae; Streptophyta; Magnoliopsida; Malpighiales; Euphorbiaceae.